AAAAGGAGAAUACCGUACCGUGCAAUCAAUCCGCAUCCGCCUCUUCUAAUUUUAUUGGCACCUCCACCAAGGAGCUCCAGCCUCAAAAGUGUACUUCCCAUCAUCCCAUGAUAUCUGACAUGCUUGAAGACCAAUAGCAACACCAGGUUCCUUUCCAUGCUGUGCACUCCACUCUUCGAUCGCUACUUCUUUAUCACUUACAUGAGUAUAAUCCUCUUAUAUUUGCCAAACAGGCUCCGCCCAGGACUUGCCAUUUCUGCAACUGCAGCUGGCAUAUACAUGGAAUCGCCAACUAUUGGUGCACCAAGCGCAGCCAGUUGUGCUCGAACCUGCAUCAUCAAUGUAGUUAUUUCCAAAGAAAUUAUCAUUAUCUGACCUACUUGCAACACAAACUAUUAAAAGAAUCGUCGAUAUUCUUUUAACUCCUAGUUCCUCGGAAUCCAAUGACAUAACUAACGGAAACAGAAUACAGUAACCAUGUAACAUUCAAGUGAUACAUUCCUUGUGCCAAAGAACGAGAAGUCAAAGUUUUUAGAUAUUUAGUUAUAACUCAUCUUCCGGUCGCACUUGGUGCGAUGGCAAGUGCCUUCGCCCAUGAGCGGUAGGUCUCGGGUUCGAGACUUGGGAGCAGCCUCUCCAUAAAUGGGGGUAAGGCUAGCCGACAUUCACCUCUCCCAGACCCUGCGUAAAGCGGGAGCCUUGUGCACUGGGUACGACCUUUUAGUUAUAACUCAUCUUCCCAAAAUCUUGAAGUCUAAACUACGGAAAAUCUUAAUCCUUUUGAAAUAUUAUAUGCUUGAAGCAGCAGGACGUCUCCUUUUAUUUGAGCCAAUUUAAAGCCAAUAUCCAGAGAUCUCAGAAAGAAAAAUACAAAUUGAUAAAAUGAUCACCAUCUCGUUCCAAAUCAGAGUCUGAAAAGAAAAUGAAACUAAUUGAAUUAAUGUAUCAGCAUAGAUUUUUACUCCUAACCUGAUGAGUCCGCCCAGUCGGAAGGUUGCUUUUACACUCAUAUGCAUAUUCUCUUGAAGGCCACCCACAGUCUUCAACACAAUAUUUCUGUUCAACAACAGAACUUGGCCAGGGAACCUCCUUGCAUUCCAUGACUUCAAGUUGACACAAACUCCACCGUUCCAUGAAAUCUGCGUUGCCAAUAAUUGUUUAGCUUCAUACAGAAGGAGUUUACUACUAAGUGUACAAAUUUCACAAAGUAUAUUUCUAUUCACGAAGUUUGUUUCUUCAACUGUGGUUGUGAAGAUGUUACAUCAAGUUAAAGAAAGCUUUCUAUGGGUGGGUUUCAAUUAAUUAAAACUUUAAAUUGGCUUUUAAAACAGUUAUAAAAACCGAAAGAACAAGACAAAAUCCUGAAAUUGCUUCUAACAACGGUCAUGUCCUGUCUAUUUGAAUCAUCCCACCAAAUGCCUGUCGUGAGAAAUAAUGGUUUUUAGUUCUACACACAAGCAGCACACACUGAAGGUGUCAUUUCAGCUCCAAAUAGGAAAACAGAAAGGAAAGAUAUUGGCAAAACAAUGUGGUGAGGAUGUAAAUCCCUCAAGGCACUUGACACAUUCAAAGUGCAACUCCUCAAACACCAAACUAGUUUCUAUGCAGUGCUUGACAGAGACUAUUACCUUCUGAAAUGAGUCUUGGAGCCAUGUUAAUUGGACGCAUGUAGUGAGUAAUUGUUCCAAUUGGCACAGGGGCAGCGGCAAGAGCAAGAUAAUGCUUCUUCACCUUUUUCUCCUGGGUGAAAGAAAAGAUAAAUAAACUUAAUGACCUAAAGAAAACAAACUCCAUGUUGGAGGGAAGUAAUAAGGAACCCCUCAGCUUCUGAGUUAUCGCACUCCGCCCUCCCCCUCCCAGUAAUUAAGGCUAUCAAAAUUAUGUAUGCCAAAGCAUGAAAUUGCAAAACUUAUUCUGAUUUUUCCGUGAAAAACUGAGCAAUACUCCUUGGUUCUAGCUAAGACAACACUGCAAGUGAGUGAGUAGCAUUACCCUCUCUGUCUCCAGUCUCAACAACAAGAAAGACAACAAACUAGUAUAAUACAACAUACCAUCCUUCUGUACAAUUAUCAAUCUGAAGUGUAGUCAUCAGGGGUGUUGUUAGUCCCAAGGCACGAGUGGCAAAGGUUGCACAACUUUCUUCGAUGUUGUCUGUAGUUCCUCCUACCUGGACAAAAAUUGUUAUCGAAUCAUAGUUGAUGUAAACAACUAAUUAACUACUCAAAAAAAAACAUUUGAUAGUGCCAGAUAACAGAUAUCGAAAUGUGUCUGUAAUGAUACGUACUGUUGUACCAGCAGGUUUGUCCAAAACCACGAAUUCAUCAGUUACAGCUACAAUUCUUGAUUUCCAGUCAAUUUCAUAGCACCUGAUCAAAAUUUGAUGUGAACAAGAAUAACACUAGUAAAAAUUAUAAUAAGGACGCGUAAAACAUUGUGUUUUACCUAGGAAAACGCUUUGGGUGUACAUGAACACGUAAGUAGGUUCCAGUUUCAACAAAUUGGUCUGGAUGUGUUAUGCGGAAAGUCUUCUGUGCUUCUCUUACAGUUUUUCCUUUGAUGGAAGCUCUAUCUUUUAGUACUGAUGGUGCUGUAACUUCUUUAAAUACCCUCAUCUGCUCUUGGGUUGCAGUUGGAGGAGGCCGUGAACAGACAAGGGCAUAAUAUACAGCUCCGAAAUGGAUGAGAUCUGCAACAAACCUUCAAAGAAUGAAAUUUUUUUUCUAUUUAUCAACUCGAACUUGAUAAUGACGGAAAUCAUAUGCCAUACAUCAACAACAAAACAAUUAGAAGACAAAAGGAGCAGAACUCACUGAAGAGGAAGAUCCAGAACUUUGCAGAUAUAUUCUAGUACAGGCCCCCCUUCUGAAACAACCAAGUGCUCGAUUCUUGGCGGUCCAUUGUCUGAGGGACAUGGAAGCAACCGAGUAUAUUCAGGGUAGCUGAAAGAAGAUAUGAUAUCAAAGUCGGCAAACCAUAGAACACAAAAUGGCACAAACUCUAUGUAACAUUAAUUUGUUGGCGACAAUUAUAUCGACACAUUAUCCAUCACAAUGAUCAAAAUUAUAAAACUCUAAAACGAUAGAGAUUCAAAUUUUCAUUUCCAGAUUCUUUUGCUCUGCUCAUUUUCUCAGUAACCAAACAAAGUGCUUCCGAAUUAGACCAGUUUAAUCCAAACCUCACUUUCAACAAAUAGAUACUAACAAUUAAAAGCCAAAAUCUCAGAGCUUCCAUUUCCAUUACAAAGAAAGAAUUUGGUAUUCUAAAACGAUAAAGAUUCAAAAUUUCCAUUCCACAUUCUUAAUCUCUGAUCAUUUUCUCGGUUACCAAACAAACUGCUUCCAAGUUCGACCUUCAUUCGAACUCUCACUUUCAACAAAUAAAUACCAACAAUUAAGCCAAAAUCUCAGAAACCCAAAAACAAAAACAAACAAAAAAGCAUCAAAGUCGGAAAAUUUAAGGUACCCAUUUGCAGAAGAAACGGCAGUUGGCUGCGAAACGUCUUGUUUCAGGGACUGACGUGCAGAUUUUCGUUUAUUCGAACUCCGAGAAAACCAUGCCACCUUAACGUGCCUGUAGCUGUUGGAGUGUUCACUGAGAGCAACGUGGGUGAGUGCUAACGUGCGCACAAGGGCCGCCGGCGCACUGAAACUCCGGCAGCGGUUGGCCAACAUUGAGGAGAAGCUCACCGGCCCCAUCUUCUUCCUCCGGAGGCUGAAGCUGGAUAGUAGAAACUGCUAUUUGAGUUGAUUUUUUAGGUGAGGUUUAACUGAGAUUUUGAUUUGGUGAAAGCCGGGUUGUGGGUCGGGUUUUUACAGAGUAAUGGACCGCGUCCAAAAGCAUUAUCCAAGCUUGAUCGAGUCCACUAGUGAUUGGGCCUGUGUUACCCAACUAACCUUGAGUUGGGCCCGAUGAAGUUCUUAGGCUUUUUUCUACCCUCUAAAAUCUCGUUUAAAAGUAUAUUUAAAAUAACUGAAAGUGUUUUUAGUGAAAAUAUUUUUAGAGUCUAAAAGUAUUUGAAACAUUUCCAACAAAAAGCAUCAUAAGUCCUUCAAGUACUUUUCCAAGAUUCACUUGCAGUUUAACUAACAAUUGGUUCCAAAAAUAUUUUCACGUAAAACACUUUUAAGCAUUUUAAAAGUACGUCCAAACGAGUUCUAGAUUGAAAAGUUCUUGUGUGCGGUCCACUGUAUGCACUAAAACAAUAAGAACAAUGUUAGGGAGCCCAAAUUUUGUAAGCAAAUUUGCAAACCAAAUGAUGUGUCAUUAAUAAGAAUCAAACAUGUUAAUCGACACUUAAUUAAUAAUCCAAUAAUCUACGACCACAUUAUUAGUAAAUUAUCCAAACAAUAAACAAAACUGAAUUAGUCCGGACCAUUAAAAAGUUACCGAAACAAAAAACAUUAUGAGCUUUGUCUUCUUUCUACCGUCAGCAAUCAGCAUUGAAUUUGGCUUGCUUAUCAUGUCAUAGACACAGCUCAGAUGGAGAAUUUCUACUGCUCGAAGCUAUACAGGUCCAGGCAGCUAAAAGCAAGAUGAGAACAAAAAGAAACAGAGUUAACGAUGGAGGACUGGCUGUCAAUGCCAAAGGUGGAACUUCACGCUCACCUCAAUUGAUCCGUCAGAGACUCCACUUUACUGUUACUUCUCUCUCUCUCUCUCUCUCUCUCUCGCUUUGUUCUCAGGAAACACAAUCUAAUAUCUGGUGUUUUGUUUUGUGUGCAGAGAACUUGCUAGUGUUUUGGGUGAUAAGGGUGUCAUAGUUUUCUCAGAUGUGGAGCACGUUAUUCGGAAAAGUAUGCCCCUUUUCUCUUUCUUGCUUGCUUUCUGUUUGGUUGCUGGGAAAAUGUAGGAUCAAGAAGGAAAAUUUAGUCUUACGAUUCUUACCCAUCUUAGAUUUUACAUUUUUCUUGCCUGGUAUUUCUAAAUCCUCAACCGAAAUGUCCCCAUUGCAUUUCAAUUAAUGAUUUUUUUGGUGAUUUUUGCAAACGCGGGUUAGGUCAGUUGGGCAAGGAUUCCCGCUCGCUUGCACCUGAGUUCGAAUCUCUAUUACUGUAGUUUAGAAUAAUUCACGUUGUUUGACUUGAUCCACAUUCUUACCACUGACCACAAAAUUAUCACAAGAAUUACGAAAGAAGUAUGAUAACAACCCGUACCUUCGUGGUCCUUCGCCGUAGCCGGGAAGUGGCCGGAGAAUGGGCUUGAAGCCGUCGGACUCGCGGAGAGGGUUGGGUGUGCUGGGUUCCGGUGGGUGUGCUCUGCUCUUCACGGAGAAGGGGAGAGAGAGCACGGAGUGAGGGUGAUGGCGGGGGGUGUCGUCGCCGGCGUGGUGUGGGUGGUGUGUCCUCGGGGAAAGAGAGAGAACGAGGGUGAGUUGCGAGAGGGAGAGGUCCGACUGUGAGAAAGAGAGAGUGAACUCGGGGGAGAGAAGAGAGAAGAGAAAGUGAGGGGAAAAGAGGAGAGGGGUCUACGUGGCAGCCAAGAAGAAAGAAGGGUCGGGGGACCAAAAGGGCAGGUGGGCCCCGCCCGGCUCACCAAUUUAUGUCCAAAAACAAUCUUCAGAAUAUCUUUCACCCGUGAAAAGUUCAAAAUGCCUCGUUUUAAAAUUUGUAAAAAAUUAUCGGAACGGAUUGUUACCGUAACUGUAGUUAUAACUGACCGCACAGAUUUCAUCCUGAGCAAACGAGCAUUUGGUCGGAUGGCUAAAACUACUAAUGCAGCUGCUUCUUUGUUUUCUCUUGGUAUCGUUGACAUCGAAUACAGACGGUAAGAGCAUAUAAGUCUUGAAAGCAACUUUGAGGAAACUUCAUGAUUAAUUUCUACUUCAGGUUCGAGAUUUGGUAGCUCUAUCUGUCUCUCUUCACAAAACAUUGUUUCAUGCAGCUAUCCAAACAAAAAUAUUACGAUCAAGAUUGAAGAGAACCGUAAUUAUCUUCAUAUAUUUGGCUUUUGCAAUUUUGUACCAGCAACGGAAGAAAGAUAUCACAGCUAUCCAGCUAUGUGACGUACAUUAUAUGCUCUUUUACUAUUACUUAUAAACUUGUGCUUAAUUUUAUUCAGUCAAUAUUUAUAAACCAACCUAGAAAUGUGCGUUACUCUAGCUAGUUAGUCAGAAUAGUGUGCUCGCCUCUUUCACUACUCAGCUUUUUGCAAGCACUUGUUUUUUCUUCAAAAGGAAACAACAAUUAAUUUAGACUUUUAGUUAUACACCAAAGAAAAUAUAUAAUAAAGAGCUGCAUAUGAAUUCAGUCAAGUUGUUAUCUUUUAGCUAAACUCUUGUUCUUGUAUCUGUUGAAUUUAUUUGCUUUAUUCUUAUGUUAACCUCAUUGUGGAGUAAAAAAUAAUCGAGAAAAAUAUGGAGACGACACGUAGAUUCUUAAGUGAAAAAGACAAAAUUAUCCUUGAGGCACACCAGAGCUCCCACGCGCGAGAAGCAAACGAUGACAGCUCAAUCAAGGUAAAAAAGAAUCAAAAUAUGUAUUUAUUCUAAACAUAUCUCAUCAUUCCUCAUCAAAUUCUCCACACAAAGUAACUCCCAAUUACUCUUUUCAAAUUGGGAUUAAUUAGCAAAUUAAUUGAUUAAUUACUCAAUUAAUCAAUUGAUUGCCUAAUUAAUUGAUUUAUUGCCAAUUACCACCAUAAGUGGCCGGUCCCCAUUUCUCCAAAUAGGGCCAGCCACACACCCCUAUAUAUAUCCUCACAUUUCUCCAAAAACCUAAGUUCAAUUCUCUUGCUAAACUCUCCAAAUUUCUCGAAACAUUUUUCCCUCAAAUUCUAACUUUGGCAUCGGAUAUUUUUGGGCCAAAGCCCCCCUUCAUCGUGGGUGCGUGAGGCUCUUGGCUUUUACCGAAAGUUUUAAUUGUUUUGCAAGUGCAUUUUCGUCUAAGAAUAAGAAUGCGCAAAUUUACAUCUACACUCGUCAUGACAUAUUAAUUGAAAUAAUAUAAAAACUUUGUAUGCAAAGUAUUAGACAGGAUUUAUGGAGCAGUUUGGACGACAACCUCGCCCCCAAGUGGACCCUUGCAAAUAAGAAUGUUAUAUGGUAAUGAUGAUGGUAAUGAGACUUGGGUUCUUCCUCACAAUAACUGUAUAACAUACCACAACACUGGAAAGUUGGACAAAUAUAUGUCUCAGAAGUUCAAGUGAAUUAAUGUUUUCUUUUGCAAAUGGGAAUAUAUAUGUGUAUAUAUAUAUGCUUGAAUAAGAGGUUCAAUAUCAGAAUUCCUUAAUGUGAUCAUCAUAUUAUAUUUGUCUUGUUGAUAUUCUAAGUUAUUACGUACAAUACAAAAAGUUGCUGCUAUAUAUAUUAUACGUAGACUAAAACCCGAACUCGGGUGGCACUGUUUUUCACUGUUUGUGAACAGUGAAAUGGCGAAAAGGCCCUAGUUUCUUCUUUGGAUUGCUACUGUUUCAUUUUUUAUACAGUAAAAAGUCUCUUUUGCCCUUCCCGGUCACGCGUCUUUCAUCGUUUCUUUCUCUGCUUGGACCGCAUCGUUUCUUCCUUGCAAAAAAUUUAAGGUAGUCAAGGUUUUGUCGAAACUGACAACAACGUUUUGUCGAAGCUUAUAAAAUUGGUUUCGAGCGUUCGCGACCGUUGGUGCAAGAAUUUCACAGUGUUGGUCUCUGUUUUCGUCGGCGAUCCCGGAGUUGGGACUGAGCACGGCGUGCCUUUAAAUUAUCGUCGGGCAAAUUGUAUUGAACUCUAGUAUCUUCCAAAACAGCUGCAUAAUAAUUUAUUUAUUUUUUCAAAUUUGUGUUCGUUUGAAUGAAACCCUAACAGUUUCGUUUUGCAGUGAGUUGUAGCGGUUUGUUGAGAAUUUGUCGGCUAAGGCAUAUUUUGUGUUUGGCUUCCUCUACUGACAAGUCUGAGAAUUCGCAUGAGCUGGAACGCUACUGUUGGUUUGGGUAUGCCGUCCCAGCCUCCAUUUUUUCACAAUUGUCUCUCCGUUUCUUAUUUGGAUUAGUGAAGUUUGUGUUUUUCUUUUUAGUGUUUAAUUUUGUGUGAUUUUAUUUGCUUGGAUAUUGGGUUUGAUCGGAUUACAUGCUUAUUUUGUAAUUGAUAAUUGUUUUUCAAUUAAUGGGGGUAUUUCGAAUGAACCAGAAAAGUCAAUCGGUUUAUGAAGAGCAUGUUUGUAGGUUGAUAAAUUAUGAAAUCUAUGAAAACUGGGCAGAUUGAUAAAUUACAUACGUGCUCUUUAUUUGUAGAAUUACAUACUUUAUUUGAUGCAUGUUUGUAGAGCCAGUUUUAAACAAAAACACCCAAACAAUUCUCCCAGCAAGUUGUUAGCAAUAUUCCUGACUUUUCCAGUUCUGAAAACAAUUUGAUGCAUACAAAUUUAUUCCUGCUUAUUGUUGUUUUACAGCAUAACCAGCUUUUCUGUAUAGCAUGGCCUCCAAUCAUCAUUCAUUUGAAGGUACGCCAUUCUUCCACUAUCUUUUAUUUAAUUUGAUAAAAUUAUCUCAUAUGUUUAACUUAUUAACAAUAACACGAUUUCAUGUACUAACUAGCUACCAGGAUGCUUGCUUUUUGUAUGAUUUCCAUUAUUUGAAGUAUCUGAGUAGAGUUUUGUUCGAAUUAGAAAAAUCAAUUUAAAUUCAAGCUUCUUUACAAGCUUGAGAAGAGAUUUUAGUCUUAUAAUAGUUAAUAAUUAAGAAACAAUUAGAGUCAUACAUGUACUACACAUAUUGCUAACUAUCCUAAACCAAAAGUGUUGUCAUUACUGCUUAAACAUACCAAUCAGUCUACAUUCUGUGAAUGCAUAUGAUGACUGAGCAGUUUAAUCCUCAAUUAUAAUCUCAUUUGUAAAGCUUUUGCUAUCCCAACUAAUACACACCUGUAAUAUUGUAUUUACACCAUACUAAAACAUUAUCUUUUUCAUCUGUUCAAUCAAAAUUUUAUCUAAUGCACAUUCCAAAAAGACAAACGUGCAAAAAUUUGAUCACAUCGUAUAAAAUUGCCAGAAAAAAGGUCAUUCCCAAAUCAUGCAAAACCAGCCUUCUUUCCUGCACAAAAAAAUGGGUAAACACAAUCUAUCCUUAUUUUAUUCAUGAUAUAAGGUAAUUAAAACUAAAAUAUCUUUUUUAUGAACACCAAUCAGCUUCUUUGCCCGCUAGGUCCAUUGUUCUUCAUUUCGCAUGUCUUUAUAGAGAUUUCAUACUCCUCAAUUUGGGAUUUCUGUGUUGUAGAUUUUGCAACAGCGGUUGCAUGGGAAGCAGGGAAGCUGUUGGUGACGGAGAGGGUGAAGAUUGCUCCACCUAAGGCCAUGGAAAUGAGGAUAAAGGUCAAAUAUACCUCAGUUUAUCACACUGAACUCUACUUCUGCCGAAGGUCAGCAAUAAUAUCUACUACAUACAUAUAAUAUUCAUAAUAUAUAUAUAUAUAUAUGAUUUUAUAUGAUUAAGCUUUGAGAAUUGCAGAUUUGUAAACUAUGAGUAGUAGGGGUGGGCACUUGGAACCGAAAACCGAAACCGAAACACGAAUCGAAUCAAACCGUACCAAACGGUUUGGUUUUGCGGUUUUGAAACGGUUUCGGUUUCAAAACCGAACCGCGGCACACAAAAUGGUUUGGUUUCGGUUUUGGGUUUUCAAAACCGCACCGAAAUCGAAACCGCACCAUAUAAUAAAUAAAUGUUAUAUAACUUAUAUUUUAAACUUUUCAACUAGGUUAUAACUUAUAGGUUUGUAUUAUGGCAAACUUAACCUUUCAAUUGGGUUGUAAAGUAUUGUCAUUGGUGAUCAAGUUCAAUUUUAGUAGAUGUGAUGCAUAAGGAUUUAAAGUUUAAACCCUUUGAUGCAUUGGAUGUUGUCUCAAUUUUAGUAGUUGUCAUUUGUUGCAGUUUUGGUACAAGUUUGGUACAAGUUAGCUGCACUUUUGGUGCAGAUUUUUGGUUCUGAUUUGUUGCAGUUUUGGUACAAGUUUGGUACAAGUUAGCUACACUUUUGGUGCAGAUUUUUGGUUCUGUUUUGUGCAGUUUUUUGGUGCUGUUUUGGUGCUGUUUUUUUAUGCAGUUUUGCUGCAUUAUUUUUGGGUGCAAUUUUGUGCAGUUUUGGUGCAGUUUUGUGCAGUUUUUGGUGCUGUUUUGCUGCUGUUUUUUAUGCAGUUUUGCUGCAAUUUUACUGUAUAUUCAUUAAUUAAUAUACGAGGAAAAUAAGACCGUCUUAUGCAUAAAUAGGUGUAUAUUUUAAAUUGUACAUUUUUUUUCUCCAAAACCAAACCGAAACCGUUUGAAACCGCACCGCACCAAACCGAACAUUUACUUCGAGUGAAUACAUUGUUGUUCAUUUUGGCCGUCUUUCCAAAAUCAAGCCCCUUGCUCAGUUGGACAAAGUUUGCAUCCGUAGUUGUGCCAUACCAACAUGUUUGGUGUUGUACUCAAUGCUUUAGAGCCUUGAAUUAUGCAUCCUCAACUGAUGCUACAUAUUGAAUCGUUUGCAUUAUUACUGAAUACUUUGUUUUUUAAUAUCAGGUUUGGGUUCCCCUCUCAAUGUAGCAAAACGAAAAAUUAUCCUCAGAUGUUGUUUAUUGGCCUCGCUGUAAGUUUGGACAAACUUUGUUGAUCCCAAAUUCUUUGUUCUAAUAAAUUGCAUUUACUUUUUUUUUUCCGUAUUUAUACUGAUACAUGGAUGAUCUAGGUUACUGAAGGUGGAAAAAUUCCUGAGGCGCUAGAGUAUUGGGGUGGAGUCGGUGGACUUGAAGCCCAAGAGGUUUGACGAAGGUAUUUAUCUUUUAUUUUUUAUUUUUUAUUUUUGACGUUUGGCUUUGGUUUAACAGGUAGUUUAGUGGAAAACAUAGAAACAUAUUUUUGCUUAAACAUUCUUUCCCUGGCCAUAACUAAGAAAUUCGGAGUAAAUGAAUUUGUGAAUUCGAGUGACAAUGACAAACCAAUGCACAAGAUGAAAAAUGAUUCGCUAUUCUUAUUAUGUGUUGGACAUGAAUCAACAUAGAUGGUUCAGUUGUAACUUUAACUUAUAUUUUUAUUUUCUUCUGCUUCUCAUCUACCCAAGUCUACAAUGUACAUACAGCUAAGGAAAAGACCGAGACAUCAACCAGUGCAGAAGCUCUUGAUAGGACUAAUUGCAGAUAGCACUACAAAUGAGCACUACAAUUUUAAGCUUGAUGUUGGUAUGUGAUUUCCACUCCAUCUCAUCUUUUUUUUUUUUAAUGUUAGUUUAAUUUUCAAAACUUUUGUACGUAUAAAGUAAUUCUCCAUAUAAUUGAAUAAUUGCCUUUUUUUCGUUUCUCAUUUUUGCUCUUCCAUCAAUUCAUUGGUUAAAUAGAUUGAAAAUUUUUAAUUUUUUUAUAUUCAAUUCUUACUGAUUCCAAUUCUUAAUAUAUGGUAAGAGAAAAAUUUUGGACAAAGCAAAAAAUAACAUGAUGACCAAGAAAAAGAUGGUCAUUCCCAAACAAGCAAGACCAAAGGAUUGACCAGGAAAAAUCAUAAACACUGAGCAGAUGUGUGGUGCCAAGCUUCUGAUAUGGACAUGAAUAUUUUUCGUAUUUGAACGAUUUUGAUAUUAUGAACUUCUGUACAUGAAUAUAGCUUUCAUAGCAUCUCUAUCUUUAUAACAGUGAGGAAUUCACACUGCCAAUCUCCAUCUUAGGUAUAUAAAUCUAAUUUCAAUAAAUUCUGUUUUCUGUAUGUACAUAUUAUCAAAAUAUUUUAAACACCCGCAGCAACGCGCAGGCACUUUUGCUAGUAUAUAUAUAUAUUUGUGCUGCCAAAUUAUUAUGAAAAACCCCAUUGACGGAGAAUUUUUUUAUUGUGCUUAGAAUACAUGUAGCAUAUCACGUUUCAUUACAUAAAUGAAGAGAAGUUUUAUUUUUUAAGUUAAUUUUUUAAUACAAGUAUCUCACCACUUGCAUCACUAGUGACACGUGAUGUACCAUUCCAUGUUUCGUUCACAUUGAAAAUCUCUUCUAUUAAUGAUACAAUUUUUACUUGAAGAUGCGCGGUCCACAUUCCAAUGAAUUAUAAACAUUAUCUAACGUAUGUCUAGCUAGCAAAAUGUCUAAAAUUAGAAUCACUUAGUAUUAUAAUCUAUAGGUAUUCUUUCACUUGUAGAUAAAAUGUAUUAAGUUUAAAUCUCAAAAUUAAUGAAUUCGUAACCAAUUUAUUCCUACAUUCUCUCCAUACUACAAGGGCUAGUAUCGCAAAAGGCCGCAACUCAAACAUUCCAUAGGCAAUCUAAAUGCUUUACAUUAAAAGUUUCUGUCCAACAUGCCACAAGAAAUUUGACUCUGAAACAAGUCUGAAUAACAAUAUACGUACAUACUGAGAUUGGCCAAUUGAAACUUUUGAUGAGUUGGAUCUUAGUGUCACCAACUUUUAACAUUCCGAAUCUCUUUGUGAAAAUUCUGAGAAUUCUCAAAUUGUAUCCGUUCAUGGUAUAUCGUGUUAUCAGAAAUUAGUUUAAAUAUUUUAUUUUAAAGGGAAUUGUUAUUAACACUCCAAAAAUUUUAUUCUACACUCCAAACUUUCUAUAUUAGAAAAGAAAAAUACAAUUGUGAGGAGUGUAGAAUGAGAUUUUUUUAGUGCCAAUAACACUUCCCAUUUUAAAUUAAAUAUAAAUAGUACUUGAUAAAAAUUGACUGCACAGUAUACAAUGAACGAAUACAAUUUGAAGAUUUCCAGAAUUCUCACAAAGAAGAUCUGGAAAGAAUCUCCUCCUAAAAUUCCAAACCAAAAUAUCAAACCUCGCAAAAUUGGAGAGAUUGGACAUCUCUGCAGAAAUCUAUCAGGUCAUGCUGAAUCCCAGUUUCGCUAUCAAGUCGUCAUUUCUUGUCAUCAUUUUGCAUACAAUGAUCUGUUGAAUAUUCAAGUCUGUGUGUGUGUGUGUGUAUAUAUAUAUAUAUGUGAGUAAAUUGUAACAAUAGUCUUUUAACUUUAACUUAGAGUAAUGGUUCCUCAACUAAAAAUUUAUUACCAUUGGUCUCUUAACUUAUCAAAACAUGCAGUUAUGGUCCCUAAACUAAAAAUCGAUUACUAUUAGUCCCUCAACUUUAAUCCAACUAGAGUAAUGAUCCUUCAACUUUAACCCAAUUGGAGCAAUGGUUCUUCCAACAUAGCUUAUUUUGACAAAAUUCUAACAAAGUUGAUAAAAAUGACCAUAGCUACACAUUUUGAUGAGUAGAUGGACCAAUGGUAAUGGAAGUACUUUUUGUAUUUAAUUUUAAAUAAAAAAUUCAUAAUAAUUUCUGACCGUACAAAUAAUCGAACCAGACUCUAAGGCCAUGUUAGUGUUUCUGGUUUCUGAGAUUUUCAAUGGUUAUGCAAAAAAUGGAGAAGAAGAAAGAAUUGAUGAAUGUUUUCCUCUCUGCCACAAAAUGUAGCAGAGGAAUAUAUCUCUCUUACUCUGAUGCAAUCACGCAUACAUCGAGCAAUAUACAUGACCAUUAGAGAGAAGUGGCUGGAUUCCCUACAUCACAAAAUGAUCUCAGCCAUACAUUUAGCUAAUUACUAGGAUCAUCACACAUGGCAUUUUAUGCCUUACAUUUUUUGACCUCACACUUGGCAAUAAUAUACUCAAGUGAAUACACAAAUAAACUCAUCUUACACUAAUACUAAUCAGCUAUAGACUUAUAAUUCAACGAUGUAUUUACAUUUGUUGGACUCCAAGAAUUCUUCUACGACCAAAUGCCGGAGGAAAUGAGAAGCAUGGGAGCAGCAGCAUACCUCAGUGCGGUACGUGUUGGAAACUUCUUGAGCAAUGCUAUAACAUCUGUGGUGCAAGAAAUUAGCUCAAUGCAUGGUGAAAAAAGGCUUGGUAACAAUAUCAAUCAUGCCCACUUCGAUUACUUUUAUUGGGUAAUUGCAGCUUUGAGCACUUUGAAUUUGUGCGUUUAUGUACUUCUUGCUAAACCUUUCGUAUACAAAAAGUUUGAAGCACAAGAAACCAACAAGGAGAGAAAGAGCUGACUUGAAGCUUAUGAUCUCUCUUGCAGUUAAGAGAAAGUACAGGUAUUAGUAUAGAAAAAUGUCUGUACUCAUUCCGUGUUUAAUAUAAGGCUUUUAUAAUAUAGUGGACACCUCACUGCCUCAUUAUACUACAGUUCUUGCAGACAUAAGCAUUAUACUACAGUAAUUGUACAAUACUUAUAGACUUUGGUGCGUUGCAUUGAUGACAAUCUGUGGUAACUAAUCAUUUUAAUGAUUCGAUAAAAAGGAAGCCGUUAUUGUUUCCUUGAAUCCUUUAUCCCUGUAUCUUUUUUUUUCAAAAUACAAAUGUACGAAUCAUUAUAUUGAAAUUGGUUAACUAGUAGAAUUGGAUGAUCUUUUUCAAAACACACAUGAAUUUAUGUACCUAGAGUAACUGUACAAUACGUAUAGAGAUGGAGCCCCCAACAAACAUAAAAGAUAAAACAAUCAAGUAUUUGUCCCCUAGGUGACAGGGAAAUGAUGGAAUAGGUGGAAUGUCUGAAAAGAAACAAAAAAGAUAAAAACACUCGCAUGCAUUACACAAAACUAUCUUCUUUUUUUUUUUUUCUGUCCUCCAUUUCUUGGCAGAAAGUGGAGAGAUUUUGCAAAAGUUUCUAUAAAGUGAAACCUCACAUGGGUAAUCGGUGACUUUAAUUUCUAUUCUUCUUCUUUGCCGUCUCCUUAAUUUUUCUUUUUAAUAUUGUAGGUAUGAGAUGCCAGCUUAAUUUGAACUCUUAUAAGUCAAACGAUACACGCGAACAGAAAUCGGGUUGCCGGCCCAUUAAUUAUUCUAAUCCUUAAUUAGUAAAAAAGAAAUGCGUAUCGCACAAUCUUCAAUUCCAAGUGAAUAAUUAAAGGGAUCCCAGCGAACGGUGAAAUCCAUUUCCAGAAGAAAAAGUGGAAAAAGGGUAGAGAUCCAGCAAGAAACAAAACAAACCCAAGAAAUCAGAAAUGGGAGAUGGUGAGGGCUGUACGACCGUCCCACUGAUUGAUCUGAACCAGUUUCCAGAUGCACUUUAGCUAUUGCCGCUGUGCUAUCACAAUGGAUCAAAACUGCUGGAAUCGAUUUCUCCCAUAAAGGGGUAUCUAACAGUAGGUUUCUCAACCAUCCUGCUUCUUCGCUUGCCGUAGCUAACGCUAUUAAUUCUGACUCCAUCGUAGACUGAGCCAAGAUAGUCUGUUUCUUUGACUUCCAUGACACAGCCCCGCCACCAAUAUUAAAAAUAUAUCCACUAGUGGCUUUAGAGCAUCUGAAAGGGUAUUCCAAUCAGCGUCGCUGUAACCUUCUAGGACAGCGGGAAACUUCUCAUAAUGUAAUAUGAAAUUCAUUGUCCUUUUAAGGUAUCUCAUAAGCCUCUCUAUAGCAUGCCAAUGCUCCAAACUGGGUUUACUAGUAAACCUGCAUAAAACUCCUACGGCAUAAGAUAUAUCAGGCCUAGUGCAAUCAGUAGCAUAACGAAGGCUACCAAUAAUACUCGCAUAUUCAGAUUGUUUAACACUGUCACCAGUGUUCUUGAACAAUUUUACACUAGGAUCAUAAGGAGUACAUGCUGGUUUACAAUCAAAAUAGUUAUACUUUCUUAAAAGUUUUUCUAUGUAGUGAGAUUGAUCUAAAGAAAACCCAUGUUCGGACCUAGUUAUUUUCAAACCAAGUAUUACACUAGCUUCACCCAAAUCUUUCAUAUCAAAAUUAGCACAUAACAAAGUUUUGACAUUAUUCACAACAUGAAAAUUCGAACCAAAAAUAAGCAAAUCAUCCACAUAUAGGCAUAUAAUAGUGCAUAUAUUAUUUUCAGACUUAUAAUAGAUGCAUUUGUCACUUUCAUUUAUUUUAAAACCAUUCGAAGUAACCAAACUAUCAAAUUUCGCACGCCAUUGUUUAGGAGCCUGUUUCAAUCCAUAAAGUGACUUAUCUAACUUGCAAACUUUAUUUUCUUGUCCUGGAAUAAUAAAACCCUCUGGUUGAUCCAUAUAUAUUUCUUCCUCUAAUUCACCAUUUAAGAAAGCUGUUUUAACAUCCAUUUGGUGCACAACAAGAUCAUGAAUAGAAGCUAAAGCAAAUAAUACACAAAUAGAAGUUAUUCUAGUCACAGGUGAAUAGGUAUCAAAGAAAUCAAUAUUUUCUCUUUGUCUAUAGCCUUUGGCAACAAGUCGGGCUUUAAAUUUUUCAACUGAACCGUCAGGUUUUAAUUUUCUUUUAAGAAUCCAUUUGCAACCUAUUAUUUUGCAACCAGGUGGAAGAUCCACCAAAUGCCAAGUUUGAUUUGACUCCAAGGAGUCCAUUUCAUCAUUUAUAGCUUCUUGCCACAAAUCUGCAUCUAAAGAAGUUAAAGCUUCUUGAAUUGUAUUAGGAUCUUCUUGUAAGUUAUAUACAUGAAAAUUAGGCCCAAAAUCUUUAGCUAUUCGAGCUCUUUUACUUUUCCUAGGUUCUAAUGCAGAUUGACUAUGUUCUACAAUAGUAGGUUCAUAAGUUUUAGAAGAAUUAGAACCCCCACUAUUUCGAAGAUUAAAAGGAAAUUUAUUCUCAUAAAAAUCAGCAUCUAGUGACUCAAUUAUGACAUGGUUCUUCAAAUCAUAAAAUCUAUAUGCUUUGCUAUUACAUGCAUAACCAAUAAAAACACAUUCAUAUGCUCUACUAGCCAAUUUUGAUCUUUUUGUAUCAGGUUUACGAACAUAAGCUAAACAACCCCAAGUUCUGAAAUACAACACAUUUGGUUUCUUAUUUUUCCAAAUUUCAUAAGGAGAAAUAUUUGUUUUUGAGUUAGGGAUUCUAUUUAACACAUAACAUACAGUCAACACAAUUUCACCCCACCAAUAAGAAGCAACUCCAGAACUAAGCAAAGUAGCAACAGUCAAUUCACAAAGAGUUCGAUUUUUUCUUUCCGCUUUACCAUUCAUUUCAGGAGAAUAAGGAGCAGUAGUUUCAUGAAUAAUUCCAUGAGACUUAAACAAAUUAACAAAUUCAGUAGAUUCAUAUUCUUGUCCUCUAUCACUACGAAAUCUUUUAAUCUUACGAUUAAAUUGAUUUUCAACUUCAAUCAAGAAAGUUUUGAACAUGUCAAUAGCUUCACUUUUAUUUUUCAUAAGAUAGACAAAACAGUAAUUGGAACAAUCAUCAAUAAAGGUAAUAAAAUAACGUUUUCCAUUUCUAGUUAGCACUCUAUCAAAUUCACAUAUAUCAGAAUGAAUUAAAUCAAGUGGUUCAGAUUCUCUAUUGACAGAUUUAUGUGAAGUUCUAGUGAUUUUAGCUUGACUACAAUAUUCACAUUUUUCAAAAUCAUUCAAUGAUAAGUUAGGUAAAAAACCUAAGUUACUCAUGUUCUUAACCAAGCGUUUGUUAACAUGACAAAGUCUAGCAUGCCAAGUAUUAAAAGAAGACAACAUAUAAGUAGAAGUAGAUAUUUCAUCAACAUUUAAUUUAAACAUCCCAUCAGUAGCAUAUCCAUUUCCCACAAAAACCCCAUUUUUAGUGAGAGUAUACGUAUCUGCUCCGAUGGUUUGAGUGAAUCCAGCCUUGUUGAGAAGAAAGCCUGAGACCAGAUUCUUCCUUAUCGCUGGAGCGUGCAUCACAUCUUUUAGUACCAUGGUUUUUCCAGAGGUGAACCUCAACUCCACCUCUCAAGUACCAGCAACAUCAGUUGAGUGUGAAUCACCCAACAACAUCUUCUUUCCCUCAGCCACAUAAUAGGUCUUGAAAAGGGAACGAUCAAAGCAAACAUGGCGAGAAGCACCAGUGUCCACCCACCAUCCCUCGGAUCCAUCAACUACGUUGAUUUCUGAUAUCAUUGCAAUCAGUUGUUUUUCAACAAGAUUUGCCUAAAAAAUGGAGUUUGCCUUAUAAUGCAUAGCAGAUUGAACACGUCUUAAAAUUGUUGUAAGCUGAAAUAGAAAAGAACGAAGUUACCUGAAAAAUGUAGAAGCCUUGAGUGGUGAAUGAUUCUUGGGAUGAGUCGCUGACUAAGUCGCUCUCUUUAAGACGUUUCGCGGCUCUGCCCAAAGUGUGCAAGCAGUUCACAAACACCACGUCGUCCCCAGGAUAAAACAGCCCAGAACCUUCUUCUAAUAAGGUUCUUCCUUGCACAAUGGAAGAACCUUCAAACUUGCACCCUUUCAGUAUGUUGCUCUCAAAACUUAAUUUCAAAAAUUAUAUAACAGCUUAUAUUUUUCUCUGUUUUUCGUUGAUACUUGGGACUUAUAUUUAUAUACAAAAGUAAAGAAAUAGACGUUGAAGGAUUAAUAAAUUAGAGGCUAGAAAUCCGGAAUAAACGAAAACGUAAAGAAUCAAAACGGAUAGAUUACAUAUGGAGGUGGACGUGACCACCUUCUCUAUUCAGAAAGCAUUUCAAAUUUGUUGAAGUAAGAAACUUCCUUACGUCUCCUAUAUAAUUAAGAGUGGAAAUUACUUCUAAUGACAGUUAUAAAUAUAUUUAAUAUUUCUAAUAAAACAAAUCAAAAUCAUAUAAACAUUUAUAGUAUUAAAUAAAAACAUAACUGCUCCAACACGAGUCCCUUGUUCAAUCCCUAUUGUCCAAUAUCGUUUAAUAAAAACCAUUGUUCAAUUUUUUCGUUAUCUGCCUACUCUACUCAUCUCAAUGAAACCAAUCUGCAGAAAAUCAACAUACAUAUGUAAGUGGCAUGUGACUCCUCAAGAUGAUGUCUAUGGAUAUAACUAUCUCUUAUUAAAACAAACAGGACUUUCAGAGAGCUGGGCUAAUCGAGAAUAGUUGGAUAUGAUUAAUUAACUUUCCUUAUUUAUGAUUUAAAACAUCAGUGGAGUAGACACUUCUUGCUAGUCUUUCAAACCUCGUUUUCUUCGACUGAAAUCUCUUUGCUUCCUCUCACUUUCUCAGAGCAGAAUCGGAACUCACAAGCUUGGAAAAAUUAGACCUCCCAAGAGAUCAGGCGGAAUCUCAUUUAUACUACCAACUCUUUCAUUUCUUAUCUUCAACACCGGCCAAGACCAAAAUCCGUUUUUCACCUGGUACUAGGUUAAGCAACAGUAGUCAGUAAAUAUGUACGCCAUAAUGUUUAUUCUCGACAAAUCUUUUAUUUACCAACACACAAGAAAUAAGUCAGUCAUAUGCAAUAAAAUAUGUACGUUUCUAAAAAGUAUAAUUACCAAUGGCGGAACCUUUAUCCGAUAUGUGGACAAUUAGGCAUCAGUCUCCCCAUUUAUAUCACUCUCAUUUUUAUUCCCAAAAGCAUUGUAGGAAAGCAUACUCUAAAAGCAAAGCUAAGAAGAAGCAUAACAAAGAUAUAUAAAUAACAUCAUGUAAUAGAAGUCACUAGAAGAAUUGAUGCGGUUGCGGCGGGCUAAAAAAAUUGUUUUGCGAUUCAAAUCAUAUCUUAAAGAAGAGUAGUAAUUUUAUUUAUUUAUUUGUUUUGUUUUUGUUUUUUUUUUUUUUGGUAUUUGGAGAACAACAUCACUUCAAAGCAAGUGACAUUUAAUACAAAUAAUAGAACAAAAUUAAAUAUUUUAACAUAAAGUGAUUGUAAUACAAUGUGAUUGCAUAGGAAACACAUGUAGCAUGCGGUUUAAUAAGCUUGUUUGAACUUAUUGAUCAUAAUUUUGUUCACACAUUGUUACACACACCCCUAAUUUAAAUUGUAUUUUCACUAAGUUUGAGAUUAUCUUGUUUUUUAAAUUGUUUUUGGAUCUUAAAUGGUGUGCCCAAGGGGCGCACCCCUGUUUUGUCCCCCGGUUCCCUUUCCAUUUUCUUUUAUUUUUCUGAAAAGUCUCUCUCUAUCUUCUCUCUUCUCCCUUACUCUCCCUUAUCUCUCCCUCUCGAGCUCACCUCUCUCUCGGGCUCUUUCCCGAUCGACACCCAUACAUACAAACGUACACACACACACCCAUACACACUUUCAUGGACGCACCAAGUCACCAUCUCAGCGGAGGACGGAACGAAUACCAACCUUCGAAACCGUAAGCUCGGAGAACAACUCCCUCCUCCAAUGAACCCUCAACCUUGGUAAGCUUCGGGACUCUCUCUAAUCUUCCUUAGAUCGAUUAAACUCUAGUUAGGACUCAUUUUAGGUACUUUGGUGAAGGUUUGUAGUGAGAAACAACUCGGGGAGCUUUCCCCAGAUUUCCGGUGAGGAUUCCGUCACUUUCGAGGCAAUUUCCGGCCAAACCACAGCGAGUUGUAGGGGUGCAACUUGGGCGGGUUGGGCGAGUUGGAAGGUCAACCCAAUCCUAACCCAACUUUUACAAUUCGGGUUCAGAUUUGGGUUGGGUUUUAAUCGGGUUUAUUCGGGCUCGGGUUUAAUCGGGUUCGGGUUUACUUAGGUUGGGUUCGGGUUGGCCCAACUUUUUCAAAAUUAAAAUUCAAUUCCGCAAAUUGUAUCCGUUAUAAAUUUAAACUAAAUAUGAAUGUUUCAACCAUGCAAAGUUUGAAUUAAAAUACAAGAGAUACCAAAGCUAGUACCAAAAGAAAAUGAAAAAAAGAAAGAAAAAAAAAGAGAGGAAUACUUCAUUAUCCAAAUUUUCUUGGGCUUUCAGAUAGAGAGGAAUACUUCAUUGUCCAAAAAAAGAGAGGGGCAACUGCAAAUUUUCUUGGGCUUUCAAAUAGAGAUGGAGACCUGUAGCCUUGAGACUUAGUUUUUGACUUCUUAAUAAGAGGAAAAAGGUAGACUGAGUUGCACAGCCACAUAAUGAAAUUGCAGACUAAUAAUUUAAUAUAUAGCUUUAGGGUUUAGAGGGGUAAUUUAUUAAAAAAAUAUAUUAGAAAGGAUGUGGGUUUUGUACUUGGUCCAUUUAGGUGUAAUAUGAGUAUUAAUUGAUAUGUGUCAUAUUCGAGUUUGUUUAAUUGGGUUGGGUCGGGUUAGGUUGGGUUGGGUUGGGCAAAUGAUCAACCCAACUCAACUCAAUCAAUGAAUGGGUUGAAAUUGGGUUGGGUUCGGGCGGGUUAUAACUCAAAAAAACCCGUUUGUUCGGGGUAAAGUCGGGUUGAACAUGGGCAGGUUCGGGUUGGCCCAACCCAAGUUGCACCCCUAGCGAGUUGGCCAGCGUGAAAGGUAUCAAUCUCUUCGUCUCGCUGAGUACUACAACUUCCUUUUUGUUUCACCCAAUUUCGUGAGUAUUGAAGAAGUUAUAUCCAUUUCAAUCUUACCCAGUUUCUGGCGAGUCCGACGGCUUUCGAGGCGUUUUCCGGCCAAAACACGGCGAGUUAGACAUCGUGCGAGGUACCAUUCUCUUCAUCUCUUUGAGGGAUACAAUUUCCGUUUUUGAAUCACUUAAUUUCGUUAAGUAUUGACAAAGUUAUGAGCGUAUAAAGUUAGAGAACCUUCCGGCCGAAUUUCGGCCUUCUUCUUCCUUGGGUCCGGCGACCCACCAAGCCCAGGCCCUUUGGGCCUUUCCUGCCGAGCCCAACCCAAAACCCAUUUCAGAUUUAUUAUUCAUUUUAUUUAUUGUUUUAAUGUAAAAGGCCCUUUGGGCCAUUCCUUUUAAAAACCCAAGUCUUUAAAGGCUUAAAGCCUUCGGGCCGUUUCACCUUAGGCCCUUGGCCUUGGGGCCGGGUCCCUAAACCCCAUUCCCUUAAAACUCCUAAGCCCAAAUCCGAAACCCAAUUCCCUAAAGCCCUAAACCCUUUUAGUUUAAAAAUCCUAAACCCUUUAACCUUUCAAACCCUUAACCCUAACUGGUCCAAACCCUUUAUGGGAAAUAUUCCGUUAGGGAAUAUUCCAUUAGGGAAUAUUCUGUCAGGGAAUAUUCUAGAAAUAUUCUAUCGACUUUUAGGAAAAUUAAUCGGGAUCUUCUUAGGGUAAUUCGACGUCCUGAACUCGUUUCCAACAUCCGUUUUUCCAAAUUCAAUUGUUAUAAUAGAGUUUUAUUAAUUGGACCAUUUAUGUGCUUAGGGGCAAUAUUUGUGACGUUGCCAUGGUAGCUAGUUUGCGUGGCUCUUCGAUGGCUAAGUAUUUGUGAGUGGACCCUUCUAAAUAUGCAUGUUUUAAUAGUAGAAAUGCAUACAUGAAAGACAUGAUUUAAUGAUUACGUUUUAUGAAACGUUUUGAGAUAACAUGCUUACUGAGACUAGAUUGAAUUACUAUUAUUUUUCCUAUAACCCGUGUUCUUAUAGAAUAUAUGAUGGAUGACGAUAUGAUAUUUAGAACAUGUUUUGAACACCUCUUUAUAGUAUAGAUGAUGGAUGACUUUAUACUCUGAAGUUGUUUUUCAAUAUAUAUAUAUAUAUGUUCAAUGGUUUUGUACUUACCUAGUGGUCCUUUCUGCUACGGGACGUAAGGAAAGAUUCCAAUCCGUCCCGGGCGACGGUUUGGUGUUGGUAUAGGGCCUGGAGUGUGUUUCCCCUGGCUAUUUAGCACAGGGACGAGGUGCCGGCAUGGGGCCUGAAGUGUAUUUUCCUCUGACUGUCUGCUCAGAGACGGGGAGCCGGCAUGGGGCCUGGGGGAUAUCGAACAAUUCACUAGUGAUUAUUAUAGAUACAAGUUAUGGUUUGAGACAUUGUCCGGCAUGCUAGGUUUCGGAAAACUUAUGAUAUAUAUAUGUGUUUUCAUAAAACCUAGGGGUUAGUACGUUGAUAACUGUUUUACUAUAUAUAUAUAUAUAUAUAUAUAUAUAUAUAUCAAAUUGGUCCACUCAUGUUUGUUUUGCACACCCUUCAGGGCUUAGAAUCGAGGCAUACAAUCCCGGCGUCCAGGCACUUCCGCAUCGGCAUCUUCGAGUCCUCUCGGUGUAGGACCCACUCCUUUGUUAAUUCAAUUUUUAUAUUAAUUCUUUUAGUGUUAUAGAUUAGAUGUGUGCUCUAAACACGUUCCUUAAAUGCAUAUUCUUGAUUCUUUUAUAUUUCUACGUCUUAUCUAUUCCUUAUUCUUAGCUUUUGCAUUCAAUAAAUAGCUUUCGUCACCCACGGGUGUCGGUCAGCACGUACCUAUUUUGGUAUUCGAGGAAUAUCGGGAUCGGGGCGUGUCACACAUAUUUAGAACGACGCCAUCUGCACAUUUUAGUUUUAAUUGAUUUUUAUAGAGAUGAUCACUAUAUAGAAAUUCAUAAUAUGAACGAUUCAGGAGCACAAAAUUUUAUAAGUCAGUCACUAAAUGAAAUAAAGAGGAACUCCUCGUCAAUUUUAAACAGUAUAAUACAAGAUUGUAACAAGAUUGCAAUAUGUACAAUCUUGUAUGGAAUUCUAGUCAAUCUGGAGAGACAGAGCCAACAGAGCAACCGACAAGAUAAAGUCACAUAUAAGUUGAAAAAUAUGCAGCACCUCAAGGCGAUGACUCAGACGAUAACGGCGACGACGGGACAAUGACUAUAACCAUUUUAUGGGUAUUAAACUAAAACUUCUGAAAAGAAAAAAAAGUUAUGCCCCCAACUUCCAGGCAGGAAGUGAAAGUGUCAAACCAUCUAGUCAAAACUUAAAAGCAAAGUGAACAGACAUUCCGAUCUGAGUCCUUAAAUCCGGAAAAGGAAUCCUUUUCCUGGUGAUCUAGGGAUCCAGAAAUUAUGUUCGUUCAUCGUACAUUGUGCGGUUAGUUUUCGUUAGAUACUAUUUAUAUUUAAUUUUAAAUGAUUUCUGAUUGCACGAUGUGCGAUGAACGGAUAUAAUUUCUAGAUCCCCAGAAAAAGGAUCCUUGCCGGAUCCUUUUCUCUUAAAUCCAACCACCCACAAAAUACAAUUCUUUUUUGGAAGUUUUAACAAAACACUCUCUAUACUGUUCACUUUUAAUGAAAAUAACAUUUUUACUAUAAAAAGUCACUCAUGAUACUAUUAACUUACAACAAUUUUUUGUCAUUUUGAUUAAAACUCAAAGUUUUUAAGCUCUUUUCAUUAGUUUUCCCUUCUUUUUUUUCUUUUUUUUUUGUUGUCGAACAAAAUAUAAUUCUAAACAUUAAAUUGAGAGUGGUUUUCUCCACACAUUAUUUUUUCAUCUCACAUACUUUUUUUUUUUUUUUUUGUCCUUUAGAUUGAUGAAUUGAAGAACAUUCAAGAAUAGAAAUAAACAAGAUAUGUGUAGAAAGUAAAAAACGGGUGUGUGGAUAACACCACCAUAAACUAAAACAUCCGCCCAAAAGUAUUAUGGAUUUUUUUCUCAGGAAACAAUCCUCUUUUCACUGAGGAAUGUCACAAAAAGAAUUUCAUCGCACACUAAGAAUUAAGUGAGAUUUCUCUUGAAUUUGACUUUUUAAGGGUGUUUCUAUUAAAAAGGAGUAGCUGUUGGGGUUUAGGGUUCAGGGUAAUAUUACUAAUUAAAUAAUUAAAUGAUUAAAUGAUUUGAGAUUGAAUUAAUUUUAAUGCAAGAAUGAUCUAUAGAUAGAGACUUAAAAUUAGACCGUUCGGAAAGAAGGGGCAUGCUUAAGUGAAGUUAAAGAAAUAAUGAAUGCUUGAGGGACUACGCUAAUUACCAUUUAAGUGUAUCUUCAUGCAAUGAUAAUCUACAGCAAGCUAGCUAGCUCUCAUUCCAUCAUUUUGUUUGUCCUACAAUGGCAUACUCUCCUUGGUUUCAACUUUCCCUUUUCAUUCUUUUGCUUGUAGCACAAAGUCCGAGCAAGGCUGCAACGUGUAAUGACUGUUUUGGUCUCAACUGAGAUGGCGUGAUUGAUUUGGGGUUUCCAAAGCUCCGUCUUUCGGUACAAGCUUUCAGUAGUAACUAGGUUUCAGGUGAACUUCCAAAUUUAGCUUUGCAGACAACGAGAGCUGGUAUCGCAAAAGGCUGCAACUCAAACAUUCCACAAGCAAUCUAACUGCUUUACAGUACAAGUUUCUAUCCAACAUGCCACAAGAAAUUUAACUCCGACUCAACAGUCUGAACAGCAAUAUAUGUAACUACUGAGAUUGGCCAACUGAAACUUUUUUAAGAGUUGGAUCCUAGUGUCAACAACUUCUAACAUUCCAGACCAAAAUAUCAAACCUCGCAAGAUUGCAGACAUUGGACCUCUCUCCAGAAAUCUAUCAGUCUUCCAGCAUCCUAGUUUCGCUAUCAAGUCGUCAUUUCUUGUCAUCAUUUAGUGUUGCAUACAAUAAUCUGGCCAGCAGUUUUCUUUUGAAUAUUAAAAUGCUACCUAACGAUCCCGUCAUGUUUUCUUUUGAAAUUAAAGUUCCGAAAGCUUGAAAUGCCGCUACCACAACAGACCAAGACUAAAAUCAUUUUUACCUGCAGUCUUCUUUUGGCUCUAGAUUAGCAAUAGUAGUGAUACAAUAAUCUGGCCAGCUGUUUUCUUUUGAAUAUUAAAAUUGAUUUAAUACUAAAAGUAUGAUAGAUGCAUUUUGACAGAUAUAAAACUGUUCCUAUUUAAUAAUGAAAAAAGUGUAAAGAUUUAACCUCUUGGUCAACAAAGACAACGUCCAAACUUGCAGGUUGAUAAUCAGCUCCAAUAUUUUUUGUCACCUAAAUUCUGCAUAUCCUAAUUUGUAGUUUCCUUGUUAGCUUGUAUGGUAACAAAAGACGAAUUGGCAUAUGCCCCAUCAAUCUAUACAAAGUAAAUUUAAAAGCAAAAAAAAUCCUCAAACUCGUACGACACACACAUGAAACAAAGAAUACGUUACAAUUUUGAAAAAUAGACAAAAACAGAAAAAGAAAAAUGAAUUGCAUUCAUGCUACAAUUACAAAAAGCAAACUAACCUUAUUUACAAAGUCUUCAUGUAAACAAAGAUUUCAAUUAUCAGACUUCAAAGUCUUCAUGUGCACAGUGAUAUUGCAAUUAUUUUUCGAAUUCUUUAUUUAGGGCAUCCACCAUAUUUACAACAUUAAAAAAUAAAAACAAUAUAAGUGGCAGCAAUUGAAGAGUACAAACAGCAUCCAUCUUCUCAUCAAUUUCAACGUUUUGGCAUUUUUUUCAGAAAACUUUAACGAAAAGCUUUCGGUAUUGUUCAUUUUAAUGAAAAACUACAUUUUUACACUAAAAAGUUAAUCCUGAUACUAUUCAUUUUACCCUUUAUUUUGUCCUUAUCGUUAAAACUCAAAGUUUUCAAACAAUUUUUAUUAUUAUUUUUUAUUGUUGUUAGAAUUGUUCAUCAAGUUAUGUUAGAGAUAGCUCCGUGUCCUUUUUCAAAACCAUCCUUUUUUUGUGCAAUUUUUUUUAUUUUAUAAAAACGUCUUUUGUACGUUUGUAAUAUGUGACUGUGAUUGUCACAUCCCAGUUUCGGCUCCGCCGUAGCACGAUAUUAUUCAUUUUCGGUCCCGGUAACGCCCUCACGAUUUUGUUUUGGGAACUCACAUGAGAACUUUUCAAUGGGUCACCCAUCCUGCGAAUGCUCCCACCCGAACUUGUUUAACUUCGGAGUUCCAAUGGAACCCAAAACCAAUGAACUCUCAAAAGGCCUCGUGCUAUAUAGAGGUAGGCAUGUACAUAUAAGGCGCAUCACCUCCUUUCCGUUGGUCGAUAUGGGAUGUUACAAUCCACCCUCCUUAGGGGCCCGACAUUCUCGUCGGCACACAGCAAAGUGGCUUUGAUACCAUUCUGUCACAUCCCAGUCUUGGCUCUGCCGUAGCACGAUAUUGUCCGUUUUGAAGUAGCUAGCUGUCAUUACGGACUACCUAGCCUUUUUAACCACUGGUCUUUUUCCUUGCUUUGUUUAUGGCCUUUUCCUGGGGCUAGACUGCUUUUUAGCCUUCUUUGUUGUACAUCCCAUGGUAAUUCAACUUAAAUUGUAAAAGGGAGGAUUGAUAAAAAGAAAAAAGAAAGAAACCAAACAUUUAACCAUGACAUAUAGCAAAUAGAUUAACCUAUGCACAUACAGUCAAUAAAUUCAGUAAAAACUGAAGAUAAAGAGUAAAUUCAAACAACUGAGAAACAUACAUGAAGCAACACAUGGAGAAAAAGUAAAACAAUUGAGUAAAAAAAUUGAAUAAUAUAUAUAUAUAUAACAGCUAGAAGCAUGCAGAGAGAAGUUGUCACAUCUUGGGCUCGACUCCGCCGUAACACGAUAUUAUUUGCUUUGGGUCCCGACCACGUCUUCACGAUUUUGUUUCUGGGAACUCACAUGAGAACUUCUCAAUGGGUCACCCAUUCUGAGAUUGCUCUCGCGCGAUCUCGCUUAACUUCAGAGUUCCUAAGGAACCCGAAGCCAGUGAGCUCCCAAAAUGCCCCGUGCUAAUUGGAGGUGGGAAUGUACAUAUAAGGCAUAGAGGAUCCACUCCCCUAGACGAUGUAAGAUCUCACAAUCCACCCACCUUAGGGGCCUGACGUCCUCGUCAGCACACUUCCAGCCAGGGAUUGACUCUGAUACCCAUCUGUCACAUCCCGACCUGGGCUCCACCACAUCCCUGGCUCGACUUCGCCGUAGCACGAUAUUGUCCGCUUUGGCCCCCGACCAUGCCCUCACAAUUUUGUUUCUGAGAACUCACAUGAGAACUUCCCAAUGGGUCACCCAUCCUGGGAUUGCUCUUGCGCAAUCUCGCUUAACUUCGGAGUUCCUAAGGAACCCGAAGCCAGUGAGCUCCUAAAAGGCCUCGUGCUAAUUGGAGGUGACAAUGUACAUAUAAGACAUACAUGAUCCAUUCCCCCUGAACGAUGUGGGAUCUCACAGAAGUGGUAAAAAUCCCAAACUUAUUUGAUUAUCUUGAAAACCCACCAGAUCCUUCUCACACUCCAAAAUCCAAAUAACCACUUAAAAUCCAUAAAAUUACAAUGAAAUCAAUACCAGAAUGCACCAAACAACAGUAAAAAAAAUGCAGUAAAGGCAAGGAAGAAUUCAACAACCCAUAUAAGCAAAAACAUUCAUACCUCAAUUGAAUUUUGAACUUGAUUCUCGCUUAAAAAUCUUAAUCUACAAAACCAAAUUAGUUUUAUUAAAUUGAACAAUCUAAAUCAGCAGAAGCAUUCAUACCUGAACUGAAUUUGCAGUUUGAUUUUGUCGCUUAGAAAUUCUAAUCUACAAACCAUAUCAAUUUUAUUAACACGGAUAAUUAAGAUUUGAUAUGCCAAAUUAUUAUGAAAAAAAAGCUAUUGAUGAAGAAAUUUUUCAUUGUGCCUAGAAUACUGAUGGGUAUUUUUACCACAUGCAAAAUUAAGGAUAAAAACACUUAAAAUAUUUGCAAGAGUACAAGGUAAUCGUAGUAUAGCAACUCAAGUAAGGUCGUUUUCCACAGGAAUUGGAUGAAUAAUUUAUGUUAAAUCAAAUGUUAAUUAAUUACUUAAAACAAAGUUUUGGAAAAAAAAAGUUGAUUUGGUGAUUUCAAAUAAUAAAAACGAAUUUAAUAGAAAAUAAUUAAGUAAAGAAUUGUAAAAGCCUAGGGUUCCGCCACUACCUUAACAAUCAUAUGUAAUUCUUCCAAUUACUUAUGAAUUACACAUGCAUAUUUUGAAGGUUAGGUUUUCCUAAAGUAUGCCUACUUGGACCCCCAACAUAGAGCGUAUAUAAAAAAUGCAACUCGUCUGUGGUAUUCAGAUUAAUUAUAAACAUGUAAGACUCAUUAAGCUUUGUGAAAUCUUUUGAAAAAUCAUACAACCCUUAAGAAGUGGUAUUCAUCCUAAGUGAACUUGCUCAUAUUAACCACAAGAAGCCAUCCUCAAUUUCAAGGACCGACCUCCAACCAAAAUUGCAUCAAAUUACUUUUCUAAAUAUCCUAAUAGUAGCUAAGCGUUAAGACAAUUAGAUAGUUUAAACCAGUGAUUAGUAAUUCAAACCUGCGUGCAUAAUAUCAUAAGCAAAUUGAAAAAAAAACUACAUAUUCUUGCUAAGGCUCGUGGCAUCGCCCUAGCAAAAGAGAUUAGUUACGAACAAUUAUAAAACAAAUUAUUAUUAAAAACAAGGACAGAAAACACCUUGAAAAUAGCCAAAGGCUCUUUAAGCCGAAUUCUCUGGUGCGUUUACUAAUCCGUAAUCAAAUUGAGAUGAAUUGAAUUGAGGAGAAAUUAAAAUGAGGUAUAAUCAGAAUUAGAAUCAGAUUCAGAUUCUUGAUGAAGUUCUUCCCUGUCAUCCUUGCUCCCUCAUACUCUUCUUACCAUCCCCUUAUUCUUUUAGCUUCCUUAUCUUUUUUCUUUUCUUUUCUCCGUCUUCUUCCCAUCUUCUUCCCUGUCGAUUCAAUGCCAAUGCGCAACGAAUGAGUUACAAACCCAGUUGUCGCCAACGACAACCUAUUCUUCACCAACUACAUCUUCGAAACCCAUCCUGAACCAAUCAGCUUGGGCCCCGUCAUCGUCGGUGGAUGGGAUUGAGCUGGUGUCAGCACUCUGCUAAAAGGCAUAAGGACAUGGGUAGUUUGGGUAGAAAAGUUGGAUUCCUGAUGGAGGCUUCUCCUCGGAAUCCAAAUACCACCUCUAUGAAGGGGAUCUAAUUCCAGGAGAUUCAGGAGUUCAAUUCCUAAUUUUGUGUGAGCCCCACCUUGUUUCCAAUUACUGAAAUGUUUGGUAAAUGGUUGAAUGCCUUGAAAAAAGUGCAAAUCCGUUUCUUCGUAUUCCAUUCCGGUUACGUAAACACGGCCUAAAGUAGUCUCAUCCCUCUCUCUGUCUGUUUCUCCCAAACCCUAAUGGCUAAAUAUCAUUAUUUAUACUACUACAAAAUAAAACCCUAAAAGGUCUUAGAAUAAAACUAGGAAACAUAAUAAAAUAAUAAAACAGAAAAUAAAAGGUUUCCUAUUUGAACUAAAAUUCAGAUUUUUUUCAGAAAAUCAAACUUUUGACUAACCAAAUCAACUCUGAUUUGGUCCCAAAAUGUCUCUUUUGAAAACUGAAGACGUUCCCUUCAAAUCCUCAGAAGGAAUCUUCGUCAUAAUACACCAUCUUGACCUUCAAACUACCCAAAAUGUCCAAAAACGUCAAUUUAGAAAAAUUGCACACUGGGUCUUUAUUUCAUCACCACAGUCAAACGGCUUGGUAGAAAAAUAUGGAAUUUUGACACAAUCAUCUUGAAAGACUCACGAACAUCCUCCAGUUAGAAUCACUCCAAAAUUUGUCCGUUUGAUCACUUUUUACUCCAGAGGAAGUCGAAUGUUCUACAUUGAAAAUACAUAACAAAAUAUCAAAAUUCUACCAAAAAAACUAUAACUAAGAAUAGAGUAAAAUAUAUAAUAUAAUAUGGACUCAUCAAAUACAAGUAUCAUACCAUGUGUCAUUAUAAAUGAAAGGAAGUUUUAUUUUUUAAGUUGUUAAUUUUUAACACAAGUAUCUUACUACUUGCACUAGUGAUGCGUAAUUUAUCACUUCGUGUUCCGAACACAUUAAAAAAUCUCUCCUAUUAAUGAUAUGAUUUUUACUUGAAGAUGUGCAGUCCACAUUCCAAUGAAUUAUAAACAUUAUAUAACAACGUAUGUCUAGCUGACAAAAUAUCUAAAAUUAAAGUUACUUAGUAUUACAAUUUAUUGAUAUUAUUUCAUUUGUAAAUAAGAUGUUAAGUUCAAAUAUAAGAAAUGAUGAGUCCGUAACUAAUUUAUUCCUCCAUGCUCUCCAUACUACGAGGGCUAAUAUUGCAAAAGGCUGCAACUCAAACAUUCCACAGGCAAUUGACCCAAAACAAAAAAAAAGCAUUCCAUAUGCAAUUUAACUGCUUUACUUUACAGUGAAAGUUUAUGUCCAACGUGCCACAAGAAAUUUAACUCUGAAAAAAAACAGUCUGAACCGCAAUAUACGUACAUACUGAGAUUGGCCAAUUGAAACAUUUUGAAGAUUUGGAUAUUAGUGUCACCAACUUCUAACAUUCCAAACCAAGAUAUCAAACCUCGCAAGAUUAGAGAGAUUGGACCUGUCUGCAGAAAUCUAUCAGUCAUGCAGAAUCCCAGUUUCGCUAUCAAGUCGUCAAUUAUUGUCAUUAUUUAUUAUUGCAUACAAUGAUCUGACCAGCUAUUGAAUAUUCAAAGUGUGUGUGUGUAUAUAUAUAAAUAUAUAUAUCUACAAUUACAUCUUAUCUGUUCAUCGUACAUCAUGUGGUUAUCGUUCGUUAUGUACUUUGUGUAUUUAAUUUUAAAUAAAAAAUUCAUAAUAAUUUAUAACCGCAUAAUGUACGAUAAACAGAUAAAAUAGAUCCUCACAAAGAGAAUCCAAAUCCCAAUUCCCCAUCCCUUUGUGAACACGGAAAAUUCCUGAAAACGAAAGAGACAAGAACAAACGUGCACAAACAAAUAUUAGUAUUUGAUGAUUUUGGGUUACAAUCUCUCUCUAUUUUGAUCCUCUGAUUCGAUCUCCGUAAGGUGUUGAUUGGUGGAUGUGCGAUUGAUCCAAAGGGCCGUUGGGCUUGAUCUAAGGAUGAACGUUCUUCAAGGGCCGUAGACUUGAUCUUGAAGGUGGAUUUGAGCGGAUCUUCAAAGGGGCUUUUGGGCUUGAUCUUUGAAGAACAGUGAUGAACGGAUCUCCAAGGGCUUUUGGGCUUGAUCUUGAAGAACAGUGAUGAACGGAUCUUCAAGGGCUUUUGGGCUUGAUCUUGAAGAACGGUUGGAUGUGUGGAUUUGUCGACGUUGUUGAUCCAAAGGGCCGUUGGGGCUUGAUCUUGGAUGAACGGAUGAUGAACGAUGGUGCUUUCUUCAAGGGCCGUCGGGGCUUGAUCUUGAAUUGGUGGAUGAUUGUUGAUCCAAAGGGCCGUUGGGGCUUGAUCUUGGAAGAACGAUGAACGAAGAACGAAGAACGUUUUCUUCAAGGGCCGUCGGGGCUUGAUCUUGAAGGUGGAUGAUUGUUGAUCCAAGGGCCGUCGAGGCUUGAUCUUGGAAGAACGAUGAACGAAGAACGAAGAACACUUUCUUGAUUCUUCGGGAACCUGGAUGCUUGAGAGCUUCGGAGUUUCAGAGCUUCAGAGCUUCAAGGUGUAAUAUGAAUUGGUUUUUUUGAAUGAAUGAAAUAGGCUUGUAUUUAUAGAAAUUUCCAAUGCCUAAUUUUGAAUAUAAUAUUCCAGAUAAAAUAAGUUGUUUCUGCCAGGUGUUGACACGUGUCCUAUUUGAUGACUUUUCCAACUUAUUUCAAUUUUCGUUGAGUCGCACGCUACGUGUAAAAUUUAUGUAAUACAUGAGCGUUGACACUUUAAUUUAUCGGUCAACAUUUAUUUACCGAAAUUUCGAUGUCUACACCCUUGUCUUGUGAUGAGUUGUGAAUACCACCUAUUCCCCUUUGAUUUAUGGCAGCUGAUUGUGCCUUGUAUUUAGGGCUAGUUUGGUAUUGCUGUGUUUAAAAAAAAACUACUUAUGUUGUGCUGUGAGAAUAAACAGCUGUAAAAUAAAGCAGCAAAUUGUUUGGUAAACUUUUUUGUAAGCUUUUGUAACAAUAAAUAAAUAAAUAAAAAGUUUGAUAGUGUUUUGUAAUCUUUUAUGUACAACAGCUGUGACUGUGUGAAAUGACAAAAAAAAAUAUAAUACUAGAUGUGCCAUUAAUUUAAUUUUCUUAACAAAUAAAGGUAAAUUACUAAACAUACUUUAUUUUUAAAAGGAAAAUAUUUAUAAACUUUAAAUAUUAAUUAGUAUGACAAAGUUAUCCCUUCGUUGUAGUUAUUUCAACUUUUAAAAUUUUAAUUAGUUAUGAAAAUGUAUUUGUUGAUAUGCCUAAAGUUAUCCCUUUCUCAAACUCUUCUCUCUCAAGAACCCAAAAUCAAGCAGCUUUGGCGGUCAAGAAAAAUGAAGUGCAAGCUUUAGUUUCUUGCGUUGGCUUCUUCGACGAGCUUCAAUCUCACUCCGCCGUCCUUCCCCCUUCAACCUCUUUUUACCCGACAAAAACUCCACCUCCAAUGCCUCCAAUUCCAAUCCAUCAACCUUUAUGUCCCAUCAUGUCAGAUACCAAAAGAUGCCUUUCUAAAACUCAAAUCCAAAUUCAGACGAACUCCAAAUCUUUCGAAUAAGAAGUUGUGGGUUCAUGAGUCGGAUGAUGGAGACAAAUCCAGCAGGUUUUGAAGGAGAGAGAGAAAUCAAUUUGAAGCAAAGAUGGGGUUGGGUUCGAGGGACGAUGGAGAUCUGCAAAGCCAUUUCCGGUUUGGUGAUUAGAGAAUGUGGUAUGGAUGCAAAUUUCUUCCUCCUUGAUCUUGGACAAAAUUGCACCUACAAAACAAUUAACACCUUUGGUUAAGGCCAAAAAUCUCACACGCCCACGAUGAAUGAGGGGGGGCUUUAGCCGAAGAACCUCCGAUGCCAAAGUUAGAAUUUAGAGAAAAAGGUGUUUAGAGAGUUUUCGGAGUUUUGCAAGAAUGUGGACUUAGGUUUUUAGAGAAAAUGGGGUUCAAUAUAUAGAGCAGGGUUUGAGAAAAGGUGGCCGGCCCUUUGGGGUAUUUUUGUGUGAAUGAGUGAUUUAAUUGGUAAUUAAUGGAUUAAUUAGAAAUAAAUCCAUUAAUUAGCCAAUUAACUCAAACUUUAAAUAUUACUUAGUAUGACAAAGUUAUCCCUUCGUUGUAGUUAUUUCAACUUUUAAAAAUUUAAUUAGUUAUGAAAAUGUAUUUGUGGAAAAUAUAGGAUGAGGAUGGAUGAAAUAAAUCCAUUAAUUAGCCAAUUAACUCAAUUUGUAUGGAAUGUUUUGAAGGUUAUGAAAUAAUUACCUUGUGGAAAAUAUAGGAUGAGGAUGGAUGAAAUAACUUUGAAUUUGUUACCUAUUUUGGGCAUUUUUGACUUGAUUGUGGGAUGAUUGUCCACUGCUCGGGCGUAGGAAUCCCGAUGUGCCUCGAGGGUAAUUUUGUCCUUUUUACCCAAAAAUCCACGCGUCGCCUCUUGAUUAUUUUUGGCUCCACAGGUGGCAGAGCCGUUUCAAUUUGACGCAUGCUUCCAGAACGAGUCUGAGAGAUUCCAGUUUGAGUAUUAAGGACAAGGCCUGUCAUUUUGCAAAAAUGACGAGGACGAGGGUGUUAUUGGACUUUAUAAAGUUUCAUUAAAGAUGCAAUGUAGCUCCACGUGCUUUGGAAAAAAACCAGUUUUCCAAAGCAGCAUUUAGCUGCUUCGGCUUUUCUGAUGAUUUCAGCUAUCAAUCACCACAGCCUCUAAAAUAAUCCUUUUUUUUUUUUUUGAGCUUACCAAACACCUUCAACAUAAAAACUUCAAAAAUAAGCAGCUUGUUUUUUUAAGCACCUCAAUGCCAAACCAGGGCUUAGUAUUUCUUUCCCUUGAUUUGAGGAGAAGGUGAGGUGUGUUGUUCGGCAGUUCAUGCCCUCCCUCUCAAUCCCAUUCGCUUGAAAAAAACGUUACCAUAGACUAAGACUAAAAUCGUGGAAUUUUUAGAUCUACGGGUCCCCCAAGGCCCAUUUAAAGGUCUAUCCAAUAUAAUUCGGACUUGUUUUCAAUCUUUUCAGAAAGUGCCUCUUAAGAACUUAGAUGCCGGACCCACACUUCCUGGUGACCAAAGCCUCUUUUCAGGACACCUCUCGAUGACAAGCCUUUGGUUUACACGGGCCUGUAACCGUGCGGUUUGAUACCAUGUUGGAAUUUUUAGAUCGACGAGCCCGAGGGCCCCGCUCUAACAAGACCAAUAGAGUCUCCAACUUGGUAAUUACCACUUACCAAAUUCGUCAAGUGUGUGGUUAUAUCACAAAAAACAUCAAUAUUAAUUAGAGUAGGGUAAUUAAAUUUAAACCCAGUAUUUUCUUUACCCCCACCGAUAUGGGAUAGCUAACAACAUGCAAAAACGGCCGUUUAUAUACAAGGAUGUGGUAUGUUUGCAAUUUCUACAAAUAUGCACCUUCCAGCACGCAUAAUUAUGUGUUCCGAUGUUGUUUCUACAUCCUUUUGUCUAUAAAAGCAGUAUACACCUUUGAGCAAUCUAAUAUACUUGCAUGCCACUUUCAACAAGAACCAUGGCAGUGCAGCCUAAUCAUCUAACUAAAUCAUAUGUCCUCCCACUUUACAUCUUGUUUAUCACAAGCGGUAUUUCUACAACCCAUGCUGCUUGCAGCAAAAUGGACCAACAGUCUCUUUUUGCUUCAUUUGACAUCGCUUCUUCUAGUUUAAACUGGUCUUCCAACGAUUGUUGUCGAUGGGAGGGCAUCACUUGUGAUAUGGCUGGUAGGGUCACCCAUCUGUUGUUGCCCUCCAAACGCCUCAAAGGAGUCAUUUCUCCAUCUCUUGGAAAUCUCACGCAUCUCUCCUACCUCAAUCUCUCCCAUAAUAUACUUUCUGGUCACCUGGAAGCUGGAUUCUUUCUGUCCUUGGGUCGCCUUCAGAUCCUUGAUUUGAGCUACAACCUUCUCUCUGGAGAACUACCGCUAUCUCCACCGCCAAGUUCUAUCCGAAUAGUGGAUUUGUCCAGCAAUCUAUUCAACGGAACAACUCCAUCAUCUUUCCUCCAGCGUGCAUGGAAUUUGAGCAACUUAAACGUCAGCAACAAUCUCAUUAAGGGCCAAAUACCAUCUUUCAACUGUUCUUAUUCUCCUUUUGUUAUAAGCUUGGAUUUCUCCCACACUGAUUUCAGUGGCAUAAUUCCCCUUGGACUUGGUAACUGUUCAAAAUUGGAGCUCUUUCGUGCAGGUUUCAAUAGCCUUUUGGGGACACUUCCAUGUGAUAUUCACAACGCUCGAGCACUUGAAGAAAUUUCGUUGCCUUCCAAUAAGCUUUCCGGGGCCAUUGGUGAGAACAUUGCCAAUCUUACCAACCUCGCAAUCCUGGAUCUCAACUUUAAUCAGCUGAGCGGUGCACUUCCUCUUCAUAUUGGGAAGCUCUCCAGAUUGAAGCUCAUAAUCCUCCAUUUGAACAAUCUAGAGAGUUUUCUGCCUCCGUCUCUGAUGAAUUGCUCAAGCCUUACAGAACUGAAUCUAGGAUUCAACCAAUUGGAAGGAGAUCUCUCUGUGCUUAAUUUCUCCAAACUUAGUCAACUUAUUAAGCUUGACCUAAUCCAUAAUCACUUCACCGGUCCCUUGCCAAUAAGCGUUUACUCAUGCAAGUCUUUGAUAGCACUUCGACUGAGCUUAAAUGAUCUAGAGGGACAAUUACAACAUGAAAUUCUUUCUUUAAAAUCCUUGUCUUUCCUUUCGCUUUCUAAUAACAGAUUGACCAAUGUCACAGGGGCAAUAAAGAUAUUGAAGGAUUGCAAAAGUUUAAGGAUACUCCUUUUGACAAAUAAUUUUCUAGGAGAAGAAAUGCCAGAUGGUGAUCUCAUGGUUGAUUCAUCUGGGUUCCAAAAUAUCUCCAUUAUCGCUUUGUCAAGGUGCCAAUUGACAGGAAAAGUUCCUGUAUGGCUGUCGAAGCUCGAGAAAUUGAAAGCGUUGGAUCUGUCUUUUAACAGACUCACGGGACCAAUACCUGGUUGGUUGGGGACUCUUCCAAGUCUAUCCUAUAUAAAGUUGGAUGGUAACUUCAUUUCAGGUGAAUUUCCAAAGGAGCUUUGCAGACUACAAGCUCUCAGGUCGGAAAAGGCUGCAACUCAAACAGGUCACGACGAUUUAGAGCUGCCCCUCUACUACCAAAACUUUAAUGGGCCUGUAGUUACGUUACAGGUCAAGUAUUUGUCCAACAUAUGGACAGCAAUCAGCCUCAGCAACAACAGUCUAAGUGGCAAUAUACCCCACGAUAUUGGGCAAUUGCAACUUCUCCAGCGACUGGAUAUUAGUUUUAACAAUUUGUCUGGCAACAUUCCACACCAAAUCUCGAACCUCCGAAACUUGGAGACAUUAAACCUCUCAAGAAACCAUCUUUCAGGUGAAAUCCCAGCAUCACUAUCAGGUCUUAAUUUCUUGUCUACGUUUAGUGUUGCCUACAAUAACCUCCAUGGCCAAAUACCAUUAGGCACUCAGCUCCAAAGCUUCGAUGCUACUGCCUUUGAGGGUAACCCGGGACUUUGCGGUUCCCCGCUUCCAAAUCAGUGCCAGAAGAAGAGUCCAGGUGAUAGUGAUACGACUAAGGACCAGGAAGAUGUACAUGACUCUGGGAAUGGAAUUCCAUGGCUUCAAAUUUCAGUGUCUCUUGGUUUCAUUGUAGGGUUUUGGGGAGUUUGUGGCCCUUUAGCUUUGAGUAGGUCAUGGCGUUAUGCAUAUUUUCAAAAUUUUCUCCAAUGUUGUAGAUCGCUUUGUGCGUUAAUCAAAUGUACUUUUCUUUGAGGAAUAAAAGACUUAUUAACUAAUACAUAUUACUGCUGUUAUGCUGCAUCGCAACAAUCUAAUAUAUAUAAGAGCGUUUGAUAACCAUUUUGUUUUUAGCUUUCAGUUUUUGUUUUCACUUUUUUGAAAACUAUAAUUUUGAUUGGUAACAUUGAAAACUAAAAACUACUUCCUUGAGUUUUCAAAAUUUGACCUUGAAUUUUUACUUUUUAACUUUUAAUUCCAAACACGGUUUCACUUUUAAAGGCUAAGUUAUUUAAUUUCUUAAGACAUAGGUCUUUUGUUUCUUAUUUUACUCUCGGUGCCAUUUCGAAUACAAAGAAGACCAAGACAUUAAAUAACGCAAUAAACACGACUUUGAAUUAGUUAUUUGCAGCUGUCAUGACUUGUAUUACACGAUAUGAUUUAUCUUUGUUCUUCUUCUUGGUUUUACACCUGUACUUUAAUUGGAUUUCGAUCCCGAAUCCAAUGUAAUUAAUAGGAUAUAGAUUUGAGACUUCAAUCCGACAGUUCGUUAAUGAUUCAAAUCUAGUAUCUCUUAUGAUCCGAUAAUAAUCCGAUUCGGUAGCCCAAUAGUCCGUUUCCAUUCCGACGUAAUACCAUGUUUUAAUCAUUUUGGGAUUUGUUAGGGUUUUGUGGGAGUUUUCCACCACUCAUGAAGCUCAGUUCGUUAGGUUCAUGGGCAUUCGCUGUUGGGUGAUUUGGAAGGAGUGAUGCGAUGUCUAUAUGUUUGGGGAGAGUAUUGUCCUCGCCCUGCUGCGUGAUCAAAUCUUUUGUACUCAAAAUGAGUUUAUAAACACGUGUUAGGUAAUAAUUGGGGCCACAAAGAGGUCACACCCACCAUGAGUGCAUAAGAUUUGAUCUGGCCUGCUGCGCCCUACAAUGGUUAUUUAAGGUUGCUGCGCCAUACCAUGGAUGAGGUUUGAGAGAGAGAUUACCAAAAUACAAGGGCAGGUAUAUCUGAACUUAUAAGCUAAAGUAUGUCUACAUUGUACCUUGUAAUUAUAGAAAUCAACCAUAUGAUACAGGCAGAAUACCAUACCAUGCAAUCGAUCGGCAUCCACCUCUUCUGACUUUAUUGGCACCUCCACCAAGGAGCUCCAGCCUCAAAAGUGUACUUCCCAUCAUCCCAUGAUAUCUGACAUGCUUGAAGACCAAUAGCAACACCAGGUUCCUUCCCAUGCUGUGCACUCCACUCUUCGAUCGCAACUUCUUUAUCAGUUACAUGAGUAUAAUGCUUCUUAUAUUUGCCAAACGGGUUCCGCCCAGGACUUGCCAUUUCUGCAACUGCAGCUGGCAUGUACAUGGAAUCGCCAACUAUUGGUGCACGAAGCGCUGCCAGUUGUGCUCGAACCUG
RNAcentral lists this long non-coding RNA (38148 nucleotides) under Malus domestica (apple). RNAcentral's name for it is "long non-coding RNA (MDOM_LNC009762)". Lineage: Eukaryota; Viridiplantae; Streptophyta; Magnoliopsida; Rosales; Rosaceae. The record is from RNAcentral.